CCUACGGGAGGCAGCAGUGAGGAAUAUUGGUCAAUGGGCGCGAGCCUGAACCAGCCAAGUAGCGUGAAGGAUGACUGCCCUAUGGUUUGUAAACUUCUUUUAUAAAGGAAUAAAACGAGUCACGUGUUCCUUUUUGCAUUUACUUUAUGAAUAAGGAUCGGCUAACUCCGUGCCAUCAGCCGCGGUAAUACGGAGGAUCCGAUCGUUAUCCGGAUUUAUUGGGUUUAAAGGGAGCGUAGAGGGGUUGUUAAGUCAGUUGUGAAAGUUUGGGGCUCAACGGUGAAAUUGCAAUUGAUACUGGCAGUCUUGAGUACAGUUGAGGUAGGUGGAAUUCGAGGUGUAGCGGUGAAAUGCUUAGAUAUCAGGAAGAACACCGAUUGCGAAGGCAGCUUACUAAACUGUGACUGACAUUGAUGCUCGAAAGUGUGGGUAUCAAACAGGAUUAGAUACCCGAGUAGUC
This 460-nucleotide ribosomal RNA is filed under the name uncultured bacterium. Its description in RNAcentral is "partial 16S ribosomal RNA". It matches the Rfam family "Bacterial small subunit ribosomal RNA", at positions 338 to 795 of the family's 1533-position model. The record is from RNAcentral.